RNAcentral lists this ribosomal RNA (464 nucleotides) under Vreelandella stevensii. Its description in RNAcentral is "partial 16S ribosomal RNA". It matches the Rfam family "Bacterial small subunit ribosomal RNA", at positions 338 to 795 of the family's 1533-position model. Lineage: Bacteria; Pseudomonadati; Pseudomonadota; Gammaproteobacteria; Oceanospirillales; Halomonadaceae. The record is from RNAcentral.
CCUACGGGUGGCUGCAGUGGGGAAUAUUGGACAAUGGGCGAAAGCCUGAUCCAGCCAUGCCGCGUGUGUGAAGAAGGCCUUCGGGUUGUAAAGCACUUUCAGUGGGAAGAAAGCCUUGGGGCUAAUACCCUCGAGGAAGGACAUCACCCACAGAAGAAGCACCGGCUAACUCCGUGCCAGCAGCCGCGGUAAUACGGAGGGUGCGAGCGUUAAUCGGAAUUACUGGGCGUAAAGCGCGCGUAGGCGGUCUGAUAAGCCGGUUGUGAAAGCCCCGGGCUCAACCUGGGAACGGCAUCCGGAACUGUCAGGCUAGAGUGCAGGAGAGGAAGGUAGAAUUCCCGGUGUAGCGGUGAAAUGCGUAGAGAUCGGGAGGAAUACCAGUGGCGAAGGCGGCCUUCUGGACUGACACUGACGCUGAGGUGCGAAAGCGUGGGUAGCAAACAGGAUUAGAUACCCCUGUAGUC